Molecule: long non-coding RNA, 2403 nt
Filed under: Gossypium barbadense (sea-island cotton)
Lineage: Eukaryota; Viridiplantae; Streptophyta; Magnoliopsida; Malvales; Malvaceae
Description: long non-coding RNA (GBAR_LNC007244)
Source: RNAcentral
UUUCUUGGCUGAUCCCUUUCGCUGUAUGGCGUGCUCGUUUGGGUUGGGCGUCGGCUAAGAGUGCUCGGAGCGUGGAUUAACUCCAGUCUCCUAUCAGGUGUGUAUUUUCUCGCUACUCUAGUUGUAGGAUGGUUACUUCGGGCCGCGAUGGGCCGAAAGGGGUCAUGUGGGCCUAAUGGGCCUACGGGCCCAAUUGGAUAAGUUGUUUGAUUGUGUAGUAAACAUUGGACUAGGCUAGGUGAAUCUCAUAUUUGUGGCUAGAUUUGGGCUAAAAGGGCCACACGAGCGUGUGGGCCCAUUUGGGCCGAGAAUUGGCUUUAGGCCCAUUCGUAUUAUUAUCCCUGUUUAGAAUACUUUAGUUUACCAAAUUACUAAAAUGUCCUCAAUUUGUAAAAUUACCAAAGUACCCUCGAUUUACAGAAUUACCGUUUUACCCUUGAUUUAUAGAAUUACUGUUUUACCCUAGAUUUACAAAAUUACUAAAAUACCCUUGGUUUUCAAAAUUACCAAAAUACCCCUAGUUUGUAAAAUUACCAAAAUACUACUUGUUCGUGAAAUUACCGAAAUACCCUCAAUUUUUAAAAUUACCAAAAUACCCCUGAUUUACAAAAUUACGGAAAUACCCUUGACUUUCUAAAAGUUAUAGAAAUACCAUUGGUUUACAAAAUUACUAAAAUACCCUUGGUUUGUAGAUUUACCAAAACACCCUUGUAGGAUGAAAUGACUAAAAUACCCCUAAUAGGUAAAAAGACCGUAAAGCCCCUGUAAGGUAAAGUGACCGUAAUACCCUUGUAUGGUAAAAUGACGAAUAUGCCCUUAUGUUCCGUAUGACUGAUGUGCUUACGAUUUACAUAUAUUGAUAUUGGAUUAGUUAAGUUUGAGUGACAGAUGGUGGUUAUCGUAGGUGAUUGAUUAUGGAAACGUUUCAACUUCAACCCAUAAUAGGUGUAUACUAACCCUUGUAGUAGCUUAGAUUAAUUUCUGCAGAGAAGCCGAAAUGCUAAAAUACUGGCAUUUAGGGAACUUGUAAUGUAGCGUGUGGGUAUAGAAGCGAUAAAUACGAUAAGAUCGGUGUUUGGAUCGAUGGAACGGGUAAGAACUCAAUUUUGUGCACGAUGGUAAGUUGGGCCUCAAUGGGUAGGAAUUGGGCCAAAUGGGCUUUCGGGCCCAUUUGGGUAAAAUUAUAGAAAAUGGAAUUUGGAAAAGUUGCAUGUUAACACGGUUAGUAUUAUUAUAAAAUUUGGGUUAAGCAGGCUUAGUGGGCUAAAUCAGCAUUUGUAGGGCCCAUUAGGGUUUUGGGCCCAAAAGCCUGAAUUUGAUAAGUGGGCUAAAGAUCAUUGUUUAAACACUCGGAAAUAUUGACAAUUGUAAUGAACAUGGAAAACCCUGAUUUUUGGUAAAAUUAUGAAAUUACCCUUAUAAUAUGAAAAAUGACUAUUUUGCCCUUGUGGGCAAGUGACUGACUUGGACUGUGUGGUUGAUGGAUUUGAUUGUGAAUAUAUGUUGGUGAUAUGAAUGACUUGACUGUGAUUGUUUGAUUCAAAUAUAGGCAUGACAUUCUGCAUACAUGACAUGUUGCAUGGGUUGGGUUUUAUAAAUGGAGGAAGUGCUAAAAGGGCUAUGCCCCAGUUUACCGAAAAGGGCUUUGCCCCAGUUUAUCAAAAAGGGCUUUGCCCCAGUUAUUAAAAGAGGCUAGGCCUCCAGUUAUAUUUUAAAGCAGCUAUGCUGCCAGUGGAGAGUUUGGUUGGGUGGGUUGAGUUAUUCCCCACAUGUUGUGUUGGUUGGUACGGGUGGAGAGUAGCGGAUGGUGGGUUGAGUAGUCUCCCCAAAUGGGCUUGCAUACAUUCUUUGACAUUACAUGUGAUAUUGAAAUGGGCCUAAGGGCCGUACCGUUUACAGUAAAGGCUUCGGCCAAGUGAUAUGAUUUAUGAAAAGGAUUCGGCCCAGUGAUAUGAUUUAUUAAAAGGCUUCGGCCCAAUGAUAUGAUUUAUGGAAAGGCUUCGGCCCAGUAUAUGUCAAGACUAAAUAGGGCUUUGGCCCAGAUUGUACUGAUACCGUGUUAUUUACUGUUUGAUUAUUAUUGGGGUUACACACUGAGUUUUCGUAAACUCACCUCGUUUCUAACUGUGUAGGUAAUCCCUAAGCUUAGAUGGUUUGGAGCUACGAGGGACUCGGAGAUGGCCAACUACUAUUUCUGUUUCUUUUAAUUGCAAUAAGUAGCCAAUUUAUUUCUUUAUAAGUUUUAUCUUAUUAAUAUUAUUAUUUGGUUUUGGGUUGUAAUAAGGCCAUUUUAAUUAUUUUUCUGGGAUUAUUUUAUCUUAUACCCUAUAUUUUUCUAAUAACAAUAUGAGUUAGACCUAGGGUGCGUUUCCAAAAUGAUAAUUGUUUUGAAAAUAACACAAC